RNAcentral lists this ribosomal RNA (465 nucleotides) under uncultured bacterium. RNAcentral's name for it is "partial 16S ribosomal RNA". It matches the Rfam family "Bacterial small subunit ribosomal RNA", at positions 28 to 507 of the family's 1533-position model. The record is from RNAcentral.
GACGAACGCUGGCGGCGUGCUUAACACAUGCAAGUCGAACGGAAAGGCCCCUUUGGGGGUACUCGAGUGGCGACCGGGUGUGUACCACGUGAGUAACCUGCCCUUGACUUCGGGAUAACUUCAGGCAACUGGGGCUAAUACCGGAUAGGAUUCCUUGCUGCAUGGCGGGGGUUGGAAAGCUUCGGCGGUUUUGGAUGGACUCGCGGCUUAUCGGCUUGUUGGUGGGGUAGUGGCUUACCAAGGCUUUGACGGGUAGCCGGCCUGAGAGGGCGACCGGCCACAUUGGGACUGAGAGACGGCCCAGACUCCGACGGGAGGCAGCAGUGGGGAGGAUUGCACAAGGGGCGGAAGCCGGAUGCAGCAACGCCGCGGGCGGGAUGACGGCCUUCGGGUUGUAAACCGCUUUCAGCAGGGGCGAAGCUUGUGGUGACGGUACCUGCAGAAGAAGCACCGGCUAAGUACGUG